Molecule: non-coding RNA, 288 nt
Filed under: Soboliphyme baturini
Lineage: Eukaryota; Metazoa; Nematoda; Enoplea; Dioctophymatida; Soboliphymatidae
Description: Eukaryotic large subunit ribosomal RNA
Rfam family: Eukaryotic large subunit ribosomal RNA
Source: Rfam by way of RNAcentral
UGGUAGUAGCGAAUAUUCAAGAGAGAACCUUGAAGACUGAAGUGGAGAAGGGUUCCAUGUGAACAGCAGUGUACAUGGGUCAGUCGAUCAUAAGGUACGGAGGAAACUUGUUUUGAAGUUGGCAGAUGUACGAUAUAUGAUUGUGGUUGGAAGUUUGCAAGUCGCUUCGUGAAUCUGUUUGUCGGGGUCGUGAAUAUCAUUUCACUAUGACUACGCAUGUAUUGAUCAUAAAGUGCCAUGUUGAAGUGGAGACUUGGAGCGUUUGAUUUUACACGUCAGUGUAUGGUU